Molecule: transfer RNA, 72 nt
Filed under: Camelus bactrianus (Bactrian camel)
Lineage: Eukaryota; Metazoa; Chordata; Mammalia; Artiodactyla; Camelidae
Also listed under: 2 other names
Rfam family: tRNA
About the family: Transfer RNA (tRNA) molecules are approximately 80 nucleotides in length. Their secondary structure includes four short double-helical elements and three loops (D, anti-codon, and T loops).
Source: Rfam by way of RNAcentral
GAGGGUAUAGCUCAGUGGUAGAGUGUGUGCUUAGCGUGCACAAGGUCCUGGGUUCAAUCCCCAGUGCCUCCA